UACGAACCGUCCAAACGUUAUUCGGAAUCACUGGGCUUACAGAGUUCGUAGGCGGCGGAGAAAGUAGGGUGUGAAAGCCCUCGGCUCAACCGAGGAAUAGCGCCCUAAACUACUUCGCUUGAGGAGGCUAGAGGUGAGCAGAACAGAUGGUGGAGCGGUGAAAUGCGUUGAUAUCAUCUGGAAUACCGGAGGCGAAGGCGGCUCACUGGGACCUUUCUGACGCUGAGGAACGAAAGCUAGGGUAGCGAACGGG
RNAcentral lists this ribosomal RNA (253 nucleotides) under uncultured bacterium. Its description in RNAcentral is "partial 16S ribosomal RNA". It matches the Rfam family "Bacterial small subunit ribosomal RNA", at positions 524 to 776 of the family's 1533-position model. The record is from RNAcentral.